GAUGAACGCUAGCUACAGGCUUAACACAUGCAAGUCGCGGGGCAGCAUGGGGGUUGCUUGCAAUCCCCGAUGGCGACCGGCGCACGGGUGAGUAACGCGUAUCCAACCUGCCCUUCACCACGGGAUAACCCGGCGAAAGUCGGACUAAUACCGUAUGUUGUCCAUUGACGGCAUCCGAUUUGGACGAAAGGCUUGGCGGUGAGGGAUGGGGAUGCGUCCGAUUAGCCAGACGGCGGGGUAACGGCCCACCGUGGCUACGAUCGGUAGGGGUUCUGAGAGGAAGAUCCCCCACACUGGAACUGAGACACGGUCCAGACGCCUACGGGAGGCAGCAGUGAGGAAUAUUGGUCAAUGGGCGUAAGCCUGAACCAGCCAAGUAGCGUGCAGGAUGACGGCCCUAUGGGUUGUAAACUGCUUUUAUGCGGGGAUAAAGUGGUCCACGUGUGGGCUUUUGCAGGUACCGCAUGAAUAAGGACCGGCUAAUUCCGUG
Molecule: ribosomal RNA, 490 nt
Filed under: uncultured bacterium
Lineage: Bacteria
Description: partial 16S ribosomal RNA
Rfam family: Bacterial small subunit ribosomal RNA
Source: RNAcentral